AUAUCAAGCUGAAAUAUCCAUUCUCAUAUGAUCACUGAAGUUAAGCAAUAUUGAGCCUGGUCAAUAUUUUGUUGGGUGACUGCUUGGGAAUAUCAGGUGCUGUAAG
Molecule: non-coding RNA, 106 nt
Organism: Acanthosepion pharaonis
Lineage: Eukaryota; Metazoa; Mollusca; Cephalopoda; Sepiida; Sepiidae
Source: the annotation of a GenBank genome assembly